GUUUGCACUUGUCGGGGAAGGGUGAGAACCUUCGAUUAAGGUUCGACUCGAGCGAAAGCGAGAGAACGUUGCCAACGGCAACGGCCCGU
Molecule: small RNA, 89 nt
Filed under: Salmonella enterica subsp. enterica serovar Muenchen
Lineage: Bacteria; Pseudomonadati; Pseudomonadota; Gammaproteobacteria; Enterobacterales; Enterobacteriaceae
Also listed under: 1 other name
Description: partial RtT sRNA
Rfam family: RtT RNA
About the family: This family represents a bacterial cis-regulatory element known as RtT RNA. The exact function of RtT is unknown although it is thought that it may be involved in changing the cellular response in relation to amino acid starvation.
Source: RNAcentral